UUUUCUAACCUUUGUCUCUGCAGAGGUGGGCUCCAGUCGCCGGCUGCGGGAUUGCGGAGUCCGCCGCGGCCUCGGCUCCCGCCCGGCGCCCGACCUGGCCCUACCGCCGCUCACUCGGUCCGCAUCGCCGCCAGCUCCAGAGCUGGUGGGGAGCCCGGCGAGGGAGGGCCUGGAAGGGGCCCUGGGCGCCGAGUCCCCCGCCGGCGCCGACACCGCCUGCCAAGAGCAGCCGGCCGCGGUUCUGGCGCGGCUUCUUCACCAACAUGAGCGGGUCUCUGCGUCCGAGAGUGAGCGCAGCCAGGCAGCGCCUAGUGGAUUACAGCAGACGCCCGGACCGACCGCCGCCUGCAGCUCGGCAGCCUUCGGAUCAGGGAGCCGAUAGCAUGUCCGGGCCUUGGUGACGACGGGUCAGGCCAUGAACUGGGCUUGAGAUCUCUGGCGAGGACUAGGAGAAAGAGCGAAGUUCGACAUUAUAAAUGUGGCCAAGCACGAGAGCUGAAAACAAAGCGUAUUUUCCCGUCAGAUGUUUCUACAAAUAAAUUUCGUCAGAGUUCUGUUUUCUGAAUCAGAGAGGCAAGGGAAAUCGAACAAAGACAGUAUUUCACCCUGGGCUGGCAGGCAGCUGUUAGAGGUAUUUACGGCCUUGCCGCAGUGCGGAGGCCAGGCAGCGGGGUAGGGUAUGCGGGGGCACCGGAAGCUGGGGAGAAGCCAUCAAGAACUCAGAAUUUCAACUUAAAUUCAAUUUAGGGUCACGUUUUCGGAAAUGGCGUGAACAGAUGCCCUCUUUCUAGGGACUGGUCCUUUAGACUUGAUAGUUUUGCAGAAUGAGGGAGAAGUUGUGCUCUCUGGAAGUAGGAUGGUUUUCCCCGCCUUGAAGAACGACUCAAGGGAAGCGGUGCCCUAGAUGUGACAUUUCUGAUCCACAUAACAACCUUCAGAGUGUUCAUUGGCAACGAGGAGAUGCUGCUUGUUCGGCGGAAUAGGGUUUGCAAAUCAGAAAGGACAGUUGAAGCUUAUAAUACAUGUUUUCCUG
RNAcentral lists this small RNA (1033 nucleotides) under Pongo abelii (Sumatran orangutan). Its description in RNAcentral is "processed transcript". The record is from RNAcentral. Lineage: Eukaryota; Metazoa; Chordata; Mammalia; Primates; Hominidae.